AGAGAGCUACCAAAGAAUCAGCGCCGCAACAUGACCCUCCCUCCACAAUUUGAUCAUUUUCUAAAAAGAUCUAAGACAAAAGCAACGGCUGAGAAUGAAAAUGAGACCUCGACGAGCUUCUUCUUCAUGAAGCUCUAAGAGCUAACGCCUAUAGAGAAAAGGAGAUCCACUGUUGUUGAUGAUACACAGACCCCUCCCCUCUCCUUCAUCUUCAUCAACAGCUAGAGGACUUAACAAAAAAACCUAGAAGAAUCCAUCGACAGACCUAAGUAGUGAAAUCACUGCUGCAGCUGUUGACCCCUCCACCACUCUCACACCGUGAACAACACACAACACACAAGCAACCACCCCCAAAUCUUCCGCCACCAACUGACCGAUAUCCAGUAGAAACAGUGACAAGCUCGCCGGAAAACGAGUUGAAAAGACAACCAGCGGCUGCUUAUCCACCUCGUCGAUUAACAACCUUUCAGCCUUUCCUUCUUCUUUGAACCCAGAUACACACAACCAUCUUCAUAUUCUUCUACACACCAAACUCGGCAAAAACUUUGAGUAGAAACUGAUAUGAGUGUGAUCUGAAUGGUUGUUCGAGGUUCCGUCGCGUUCGUGUCCCUGUUGGCAUCUUUGUUCGCUGCUCAAUUCUUUGGUCAGAUUCUCGUUUGCUUCUCGGCUGAAUAGAAAUGUAAACUCAGAACUCCAUUAAUCAGAAAGUUAUAGCUCUUUGAGGUCCAUGCUUUCUUAUCCUUUGUUUCAGUUUCACAGCAAAAAUGUCUCUGCCUGCUUUCAUGUUUUUUUUUAAUUGAUGAAUAUGCUUGGUUUCCUUUAUUAGCUUAAUGCACUUAAAUGAUAGAAUUGGAAUAUUGGAUCAUCUGCUUGUUUGAAUUAUUUUAAAGAAUUUUUUUAAUUAAUAUCCUUGGGUUAACAUUGAUAUGGUGCUAGGUUCCUUGAUAUACGGAAUAGGUGUGCACUUUGGAUUGAUUUAAGUAGUUAAGAGAUUAAUGGAAAUCAGUUAAAGUUUACAUUCUUCUGUUGUUGGAGUGUUGGGACAUGAGAAUUGAUUCAAAAAGUAGAUUUGGAAUUUUUGACGGAACUUUGCUGUAUUAAUCUUAGAAAAACUUUUCGUGCUCGCAUUCUUGUUUGUUUAACUGUCCUCGUUGCAUGCUUUAGGCUUGAUUAACAAUAAAUAAAUCGUAACUACAGGUACGGUUCCCGUAGCGUAGUUGUGACAUCUACUUACUUUUAAAUAUGAAUAUCCAUAGUUCUUUUAAUUGAAUGCAUUUCCUUUGAAAGAAAUUGAGGCGCACCAUUCACACAAUUGAAUCAUUUAACCCAUGUCCCUCGUGUUAAUUUCAUAGCCUAGAUAUAAAAAUGACAAAUGUUCGUAGUUUGUUUUAGGCACGUUAAUAUACUAUUGUGGUUGUGGACACGUUCGCGUGACAUGAUUACGGUUUCUAAAAACAAAACUGGAAUAUAUGUUCGUGCAACUUCAGCCGCACUUUCUUAAUAAUAAUAAAGCAUUACUAAUUGUGGACAUGUUCGCGUGACAUGAUUUUUGACGCGCCAUUUAAAUGAGUACACGUACGUGUGACUCGUUUCAAGAUAAUUUCUCAAUUAAAAAAGGCAAAUGCACAUAGGUUCUAAAGUAAGUAAUUAGACAAUUUAAUAAGCCAAAUAUGAUCAAAGCGACAGUACUAGAACCACAAAACUCGGGAAUGCCUAACACCUUCUCCCGAGUUAACAGAAUUCCUUACCCGAAUUUCUAUGUUCGCAGACCGUAAAUAAGAGUUAACUUCCUCGAUUCGAAAUUUUAAACUGGUGACUUGGGACACUAUAAAUUAUCACAAGUGGCGACUCUGAUUUUAAUAAAAUAAUUCCGUUUCGAUUGUCACUUAAAUUAGAAAAAACUCCCUUAUACUCCUUCCGGGGGUAGAAAAAGGAGGUGUGACAGUUGGGUCCGUAGAAAAAUAUGGAACUUGGGCGUAUGCCCGGAAUUGAAUUCCGAGGUCUCUAGCCCGAGAAAUGAAUUUUUGACGAAAAUUAUUUAACUGAAAAUAUAAUGGUUUUUAAAAAUUUAAUAAUGUUUGAAUUUGAUGGUAUCGGGUCCGUAUCUUGGUUCCGGAGCCCGGUACAGGUUUAAUAUUGUAUUUAAGUUAUGUUUGUAAAAUUUGGUAAGAGACAGAGUUUAUAUGACGUGAUUCGGAACCUCGGUUGUGAAAAUAUAAACUUUAAAGAGUUCUUGAGAUUUUCACUGAUUUUGAUGCUAAAUUCGCUGUUUGAGACGUUAUUUUGGCGAUUUGAUCGCACGAACAAGUCCGAGAGCUCGGGUGAAUUUUGGAUAGGCCACUGAGUGUUUUGAACCUUAUGGAAAAAUUGAUGGUAUUGCAGGUCUGCAAACUUCGCAUUUGCAAAGUUUAUAGUCGCAAAUGCGAUAAGAGCACAGGCCACAAUUGCGAACAUUGGUUUGCAUUUGUGAAGGCAGCAGGUCAGGCCAAUCUUCGCAUUUGCGAAGCAUUGGUCGCAUUUGCGAAUUCGCAAUUGCGAACUUGUGAUCGCAAAUGCGAUACAUGCAACUGCUCAAAAACAGAUUUUGACGGGAUUUCAACUCAUUCUUUCAAAUUUUCAAACUCUAAACUCCCAUAUGCGAUUUUCCAAUGAAAAGUUCUUUACCAAAUCAUAGGAAAACAAUUUCUAACUCAUUUCUUUCAAUCUGCUUCAUCAAUUUACAAGAUUUCAUCACAAAAUCUAGGGAUUUUCAUGGGAAAUUGGGUGUUUUUGAGUGAAAUUGAAAAUUUUGAAAUUUGGGGAUUUGGACCUCAAAUUAAGGUCGAAUUCUAAAACCAAUUAUAUAUCAGGGCUCAGGGGUAAAUGGGUAAUCAGGUUUUGGUCCGAACUUCGGGUUUUGACCAAGCGGGCUCGGGGUCGAUUUUUGACUUCUUGGGAAAAAUGUUGAGAAACAUAUAAUUAAGCAUUGAAUUUGAGUUCUUUAGCAUUUAUUGAUGUUAUUAAGUUAAUUAUGACUAGAUAUAAGUGAAUUGGAGGUGAAAUCUAGAGGGAAAGCAAUAUUUGAAGCUUGAUUUUGGCCGUGGAAUAGAGGUAAGUGUUUGGCCUAACCUAAACUUGAGGGAAUAGACGUUGUUGUCUUAUUUGCUACGCGUUAGUGUUGAGUACGACGUAUAGGUGUGAUGACGAGUAUCUACACGUUGGUGUCGAGCAUGCCCAUGAGUCUUAUACUGUGACUGUUGUGACUCUUAUUAUAUACUGUCCAUGCUUAAAUUGAUGAUUAUCCAUGUUGAACAAGACUUAUGAUAAUUUCUUGGUAAUUGACAAUUUUUGAGUAUUAACUCAAGUUAGAGAUUUAUUUUGUGAAGUUAACUGCUGGAACGAGAUUGGUUAUAGCUGAUUCCCUUGCCAUGAUGUAUUUGUUUCAAUUGUUGAUUCCUUUGUCGGGAUGUUGUUGUUUCUACUUUGUUUCAAUUGUUGAUUCCUUUGUCGGGAUGUUGUUGUUUCUACUGUUUGGGUGAGGAAAGAGUGAUAAAGCACGAAGGGUAAUACCAACUCUUUCCUUGAAAUACUUGUCUAGUUACUUCUACUGACGAAUUUCGUGGAACAACAGGCAAAUAGAAGCAAAGACAUAUUGACACUCCAACUACUGCACAAGCCAGCUGCAACAAAAGUGGUAAAUCAGAACAUUCAUGUGCAGAAUGUGAUAGAGAAAAUGAGAAAAAGGGCAAAUCCAAAAAAGACGCAAAAAGAAGUAUAAAUAGAAAUAGAACAGGAGGAAAGUAAAGCUCAAAAUUGCACCCAAUUUAAAAAUAAAAUAAAAUUGGCAUAAUAAUAACUGACAUUCAGACAACAAUACCUAAGAGAAGAAAUAGGAUCAAAAUUAUGUACCUCUCAACUCAAAUAGUAUUACCAAAAUAAAUGUGCUCAAAAUUAAACAAUAGUUGGAAAUUGGAGAGAAAAAGAGAAGUAAUAGAAAGCUCACCAGAAACAAAGACACAACAAAAUAAGAAAACUACAAGAAAUUCAGUUGAUUUAGUCAUUUUAUCGAGCAUCGUCGAUGCAUCAAUAUGCAAAUUGGAUAGAGUCAUCGACAUGCGUGUGAAAAUCUAAUAGGAAACUAUCGUAAAGAACAUAGCAGAUGCCACAGAAAUAAAUCAUUAGCAACAACAUGCCGCAUUUAGAAGGGAAAAAAGCAAGAACGUGAAAAGUUAGCAAAAGUGAACAAAAUAAAGCACACAACAUGGCAUCCAAAUUGAAAGAUUUAGAAAUAUGAAGGAAUGAGUCAGAAAAUUAGACAGAGCAAACAACAGAGAAGGAGGAAACAAACGGUAAUCACUACAAAAAUAAAAAAAGAAACGAUCACAUUCCAGGUAAAGAUUCGCAAUACUCCCUGGCCAGACUUCCCCAAUUUCUGUGAUAACAUGAUUAUUGCAGUAUAAUUUAACAAAAGAAAAAUACAAAAUACCAAAAUUGAGAUAUUGAUACAGGAGUAGUGUUCUCCCGUGAUAUCAACUGAACAUGAAGCAUGAAGCCCUAGGUAGAAGGCAUGCGUAGAAAAGGGAUAGUGAAGGGGGAGAUGAACAACAAAAGGAGAUGGAAAUAUGCGACUACACAAGAAAUGAGGUGGCAAUUCAACUACUGCUGUAAAGGACACGCAAGUCUAUAAAUCAAAUGUCAAAAUUGCCCUUAGAAUUGAAUUCCAAAAACCAGCCAGGUCGAAACCUUGGCUCUUCUAUAAUAUAGUAAAGUAAUUAUUAAUAAUGUUAUUAAGGAUGAUAGUACCCAUUUUAUUGUAAAAGAAUAAAGUGGGUCGGUUUUGUUCCCACGUAAUACAGGAAAAGUUCACAAAUUAGAGGAUUUGAACAAAAUUUCCUAAAUUAACGGGAAGAAAGUUUCACGUUUUAGGCAUGUAUUGAUGUUAGUUGGACUGGUUUAUCAUGUAGAUAGUGAAAUUAGGGUCCGGAAUUGCUUGAAGGAGGUGUAAAGUGGAAGUUAAACUUGUCGUCUUGAGGUGAGUUAGGCUUAUUUUCCUAGUAGGGAAUUUCAUUAGAACCCAAGUGCUCCAUGGGUUUGAUAAAUCUAAGCCAUGUCUCCUUGUGCUCUAAUAUUUAGUUCGUGUCAUUCUUAUUCACUGCGACUUUAUAUAUGAUAGAGUUACAUGUUUAUGCGUGUUUAUGUACCUUUAUUUGUGAUAUUUAUAUUUAGUGAAGUAUUUUAGUUUCAAUAUUUAUUCAUGCAUUAAUGUGAUCACAUUGAAGGGAGAGCUAGCCGACCUCACCUUGCGUGAGUGCCACAAGUCCAGGGUUUCUACCCCACAUACGAAGGGGCUAUUGUUGUUUGGGAGAUAGGCCAACACUCCCUAGUGUGUAUUGCUAGAUCUUACGUACAUAGAGCCACUAUGUGUUGUGAGCACGUGAUUUUUGCCCUAUGAGAACUACUCCCAAAAAAAAUUCAAAAUAAAUUGCGUUGUUUGUAAUUUAUGUGUAUUUUGUCUAUUUUCUUCUUUAAUUAAGAAAAAUACAAAAAAUAUGUGUUGCAUGUGCAUUUAGGAUUUAAUUUUACAAUUUAGGAAUUAACAAGUUUGUUUUACAAAAUAGAAAAAUCACAAAAAUAUAUGCUUUGCUUUUUUAGCAUUUAAUGUCCGAAUUGUGUAAUUUUAUCUUUAUUUGAUGUUUAAUUUCGUGUGNNNNNNNNNNNNNNNNNNNNNNNNNNNNNNNNNNNNNNNNNNNNNNNNNNNNNNNNNNNNNNNNNNNNNNNNNNNNNNNNNNNNNNNNNNNNNNNNNNNNNNNNNNNNNNNNNNNNNNNNNNNNNNNNNNNNNNNNNNNNNNNNNNNNNNNNNNNNNNNNNNNNNNNNNNNNNNNNNNNNNNNNNNNNNNNNNNNNNNNNNNNNNNNNNNNNNNNNNNNNNNNNNNNNNNNNNNNNNNNNNNNNNNNNNNNNNNNNNNNNNNNNNNNNNNNNNNNNNNNNNNNNNNNNNNNNNNNNNNNNNNNNNNNNNNNNNNNNNNNNNNNNNNNNNNNNUUUAUUGUUGAAAAGAAAAAUUGAAAAAAAAAAUAAUAAAAAUAAAUAAGAAAAGGAAGAUUCAGUUGGGCCAAUUUGGCCAAGCCCAAAUCCUUACAGUCAAACCAGGCCAAAAAACAGCCCAUACCCGCCCCAAAUCCAGUCCACCUGCGACUCAACCAAACGACGCCGUUUUAGGCGUUUCCAUCUAGACCGUUGAUCUCAGCUGAUCAAACGGUCCCAAAGCUUUGACCAAACCCGACCCCGAACCAUCACUCCAAUACCCGGACCGCCCCAGCACUACCUCAAAAUGACACCGUCUCCCUAAAAUGAACUAAUCCAGGCCAUUGAUCGUGCCUGAUCCAAUGGCCAGGAUUAGACCAUCCCCUCCGUAUAUAAGCCUAACCCCUCUCCUCACCCCCUAAGCCAUACCCUGUUCAUCGUCUCUUUCAGAGACGAACCCAAGCAACCCUCCCAAACCCUAGCCGCCCUGAAACCCCUCUGCUUGAAAGCCAGCAGCAACAACGCCGGUGACCACCAAAAUAACACCCCUGAACCUCCUAACCACCCUCUCCACAAAUCCUUUACCCGUUUUGCUCGAAUCAGACUGAAGCUUCUCGAAUCUUCAAUCGAAGAUUCGAGCAUACUUGAAACCCACCCCAAUCAGUCCCAAACUCACACCAAGGCACCCCCUGACCACCCUUGUUACGGAUCUGUUGACUGCUUGCCUCGAAUCAACCUCCAACAUCUACCCCAACCAAUCCCAGACCCAUACCAGACAUGUCCCUGACUUCCCUCGUCACCAAACCACCGUGGGUUUGGUUCGAAUCUGGCUAGAAACACUCGAACCCAAAUCGAACCCCCAAGAACCCUAGAAAACCAAAAGGUAAAAUCUGUCCCAACUAAAGGAAGGUUUGGGGUCUAACCAACUUUAGUCGAAGUGUUCUCAGUUGAGAACACUCGAUUAAGGUCAGUUCGACCUCAAAAAGUUCGAGUUUGAGUUCGAUUCAGGGUUGUUUAGGUCCCGAGUUCUUGAGGUAUUUUUUCAUUUCCUAUUUGUCCCAGUUUGUGUUUGUUUAUUCUGUUUAUUUAUUUAGUUUAGUUUUAUUGGUUUUUCAAUUUCUUUUGUCGAUUGUCCAGUUCUUCUCCCUCAGACCUUUUAUUUGGUCGAAUUCGUUUCUGUUCGUUGUUAAUUAUAGGCUGUGUAGUCGAUUCGAAUAAGUUUGUCGAUUAGUUUAGCUUUAUUAUAAAUCCCUGUUCUUGUCACUGUUACUUGAAUGACCUGAUUAUCUAUUUCUGAGUAAUUGCUGUCAAUUGUUGUAGGCAAUCGUCUAAUCAGUUAUCAUCGAUUAAGUCAAGUUUUAUCAGUAGUUUCGUAAAAUGAUUUAAGGUCGAAUGUUGUGUGUGCUUGAUCUGUGGACAUUUAGCUUCAAGGCAUUGUCAAUAGGUUGACAAUGAACAUGCAUUCAUGUUACCUACAUUCAUGUUCAUUUUUUGGUUCAGUUUCAAUUUCAGCUUUUAUGAUUCUGUUGAGUUAUGUGUUAUGAUAGUUUGGUUUUGAUUUAAAUUCAGUUUAGUUUGAAUUUAUAGCCGUUAGUCUAUAAUUGUUAGUUUUGAACAGAUUUUUUUUAAUAAAUGUUGAUUCUGUUAGUUUUUGAUAAAUGUUGAGUUGAAUUCAGUUUUAAUGUUAGUUUAGGAGAAUUGGUUGUAGUUGUUAGUCAGAUUUAGUUUUAAAUCAUUGUUAGUUUGAACAGAUUUUAGAGUUAAAAGGUUUUAAUACGGAUGAAUAGAUUAUUAGGGGCAGUAAUAUUAAGGGGUUUUCAGGGGUGAUUUGGGAAUGAAACAGUUAGGAUAAUAUUUUAAUGUUAGUGUUUUGUUAGUGGGAUAUUAGUGUCUUUAGAUUAAUACACUACUGGGGAACAAAAGAGAAUGAGAGGGCUGAAAAUAAGGAAAAGUUUUCCUUAGUGGGCUUUAAAGUGGAAGAAUUCAGAUUUUUAGUGGAAGAGGGGGGUAAGGCAGUAAGUGGAAAAGGAGGGCAUGUCUGUAUAAGAGAGCAGAUUGAGGACUGAAAGAAAAAAAAAAGACUAGAAAAAAGGGGAAUUUUUUGAGAGCUUGGGAGUUGAAAAGAAUAGCCAUUGUUUUCAUUGCAUCACUUAGAACUUGAAAUAACUAGAACACUUCUUUUUUACUUCUGCUCUAUGCUGGGGACAGUUUGUAGCUGCUGGUUAUUUUGUUGUUACACUGCUGUUGCAAAUGCUGUUGGUUACUACUGCUGCUGCUGACCCUCUUCUUCCUCUUCUUGUAUUGUCUAUACCAGCUGAGCACAAGGUGUGGCUCACGCUCUGCAAUGGGAACUCAGACUGGGC
Molecule: long non-coding RNA, 8363 nt
Filed under: Nicotiana tabacum (common tobacco)
Lineage: Eukaryota; Viridiplantae; Streptophyta; Magnoliopsida; Solanales; Solanaceae
Description: long non-coding RNA (NTAB_LNC009451)
Source: RNAcentral